AUUAGUGCAAUAUAUCCUGAAAGCCUAUCACUUUAGAAAUCUGUGUUUAUAGAUAGCAAAGAAAAGAUUUGAGGGUAGCAAAAUUGAGAAAGAAACAGGCACGUGGAGGGCUCAGGAUGAUGAACAUCUCUUUUUGACAGAUGAAGAGCUUCUCCCUCCCAGGAGCCAACGCUGUCCCUCUCCCAGUGGUUGUGCCAUGGAGACAACUCCUGGAGACGUGUCCUCUACCAAAUUGAUGCCACGCGACCAGCUCUUGGCGGGGCUGGACUGGAUGCAGAUCUUCUGAGUCUCAGCCGCACACUUUCUCCAACACCUCUGAACUUUGAGAUGAAUGAAAAAUACUGUAUGUACAUGAAACAGAAGCUCUAUUCUAGGUUAGCCCAUGGAUCCAAAUGGUUUGAUCGUGUGUGCACAUGCACGUGGGUUUUGGAAACCUUUAGCAGUCAGUGGCCUUUGCUCCUUUGGCUUCUGGAUGAGCCGCUUUGCUUUUAAAAUUCAGAUUGUGACUUUUCAGGAAAUACACAGAAAUGACCUCAACCAGGAAGUUCCUAAUUUGGGGACCUAUUGUUGAAAUGGUUCUUCGGUCUACAACUGUAGUGGGGAGAAAAAAAAAUCCAAAAUCCAGAUUCCUCCCUCUAGAAGGUGGAUUCCUAGCCUGAAGGUAUGUUUGCCUUGCUGGGAGGCUCAAUGAGUUGAUCCAGAGACUGUGGAAGGGAGAAUUGCAAAG
RNAcentral lists this long non-coding RNA (727 nucleotides) under Canis lupus familiaris (dog). RNAcentral's name for it is "lncRNA (ENSCAFG00000037890.3, ENSCAFG00845022466.1)". Lineage: Eukaryota; Metazoa; Chordata; Mammalia; Carnivora; Canidae. The record is from RNAcentral.